GCAAACUUGGUCAUUUAGAGGAAGUAAAAGUCGUAACAAGGUCUCCGUUGGUGAACCAGCGGAGGGAUCAUUAGCGAGUUAACAAAACUCCAAACCCAUGUGAACGUACCUUUUGUUGCCUCGGCAGGUCGUGCUGCGCGGCCGGACCGCUACCCUGGAGAAGCUACCCUGGAGUAGCUACCCUGGAGUUGGCGGCACCUACCCUGCAGCACGUAACCAGGCCUGCCGAAGUGCCCUUAAACUCUGUUUUUACACCUGUAUUUCUGAGUCCAUUAUACAAAUAAGUUAAAACUUUCAACAACGGAUCUCUUGGUUCUGGCAUCGAUGAAGAACGCAGC
Molecule: unclassified non-coding RNA, 338 nt
Filed under: uncultured fungus
Lineage: Eukaryota; Fungi
Description: partial contains small subunit ribosomal RNA, internal transcribed spacer 1, and 5.8S ribosomal RNA
Rfam family: Eukaryotic small subunit ribosomal RNA (bases 1-73)
Source: RNAcentral